Molecule: ribosomal RNA, 2994 nt
Filed under: Triticum aestivum (bread wheat)
Lineage: Eukaryota; Viridiplantae; Streptophyta; Magnoliopsida; Poales; Poaceae
Description: partial small subunit ribosomal RNA
Source: RNAcentral
AUGAAUUUCUGUUUUCAGCACACCUUCUCUUCGCUCUUGAAGCAAAAGCCAGGAAGGACUAGUCCGCCGAGAUCCAGGGGUACUAUGGCGAUUUCAAUGAGGGAUGUAGAUCCUGCCUUUCAAGGGGCUGGUCAAAAAGAUGGACUGGAAAUAUGGCGGAUUGAGAAGUUGCAAGCCGUUCCUGUUCCCAGAGAAUCACAUGGAAAUUUUUUUGCAGGAGAUUCCUACAUAAUACUAAAGACAACUGCCCGUAAAAAUGGUUCUUUUCAGCAUGAUAUCCAUUAUUGGCUUGGUAAAGAUACCAGUCAGGAUGAAUCUGGUACAGCUGCAAUCAAGACUGUGGAAUUGGAUGUUGCUCUUGGCGGACGUGGUGUUCAAUACCGUGAAGUACAGGGAAAUGAGACUGAGAAAUUUCUUUCCUACUUUAAACCCUGUAUUAUACCAGAGGAAGGUGGAAUUGCAUCUGGUUUCAGGCACACUGAAAUCAAUGAACGGGAGCAUGUAACACGAUUAUUUGUCUGCAGAGGAAAGCAUACAGUCCAUGUCAAAGAGGUUCCUUUUGCAAGAUCAUCACUCAACCAUGAUGACAUAUUUAUUUUAGAUACAAAGUCCAAGAUAUUCCAAUUCAAUGGAUCGAAUUCUAGUAUUCAAGAGAGGGCUAAAGCCCUUGAGGUUGUGCAAUAUCUCAAAGACACCAACCAUGAAGGAAAAUGUGAUGUAGCUGCAGUUGAGGAUGGAAAGUUGAUGGCAGACGCUGAUGCUGGUGAAUUCUGGGGUCUCUUUGGGGGAUUUGCUCCCCUUCCCCGAAAGACCUUUUCUGAGCCUAAUGGAAAAGAUACUGCUUUCCCUCCAAAGCUGCUCUGGGUCAACAAGGGCCAAACAGUUUCUGUGGAUUAUGAAGUUCUAACAAAAGCGCUGCUAGAUUCAACAAAAUGCUACAUUCUAGAUUGCGGAUCUGAAAUUUAUGUCUGGAUGGGUAGAGAAACAGCGCUUGAAGAUCGGAAACAAGCAGGAUUGGCAGCUGAGGAAUUACUUCGUGAAGGAGAUCGACCAAAAUCUCACAUUAUUCGUCUCAUGGAAGGAUUUGAGACGGUUAUAUUCCGAUCAAAGUUUAAUAAAUGGCCCAAGAAAGCUGAGGCAGUUGUGUCAGAUGAGAGCAGAGGAAAAGUUGCAGCCCUUCUUAAACGCCAAGGAUUUAAUGUUAAGGCUGUAGCAAAAUCUGCUCCUGUGAAGGAAGAGCCUCUACCUCAGAUUGACUGCACAGGGAACUUGCAGGUUUGGCGCGUAAAUGACAGUGAAAAGACUUUUCUUUCAUUCUCUGAGCAAUGCAAAUUCUACAGUGGAGAUUGCUAUAUCUUCCAAUAUAGCUACCCUGGUGAUGAUGGGGAGGAAUGUCUUAUUGGUACUUGGUUUGGAAAAAAGAGUAUUGAGGAGGAGAGGGCUGCAGCCACUUCACUUGCUAAUAAGAUGGUUGAGUCUCUAAAAUUCCAGGCAGUUCUGGUUCGCCUUUAUGAAGGAAAGGAGCCCAUUGAGUUUUUCCCAAUAUUUCAGAAUCUGGUUAUAUUCAAGGGUGGUGCUAGUACUGGGUAUAAGAAGUUUGUCUCAGAAAAUGGCAUUCAGGAUGAUACAUAUUCAGAAAAUGGGGUUGCACUUUUCCGGGUUCAAGGUUCAGGACCAGAUAAUAUGCAAGCAAUUCAAGUUGAUGCGGUGGCACCAUCCCUGAACUCUUCGUACUGUUACAUACUGCAUGAUGGAGAUACGGUAUUUACAUGGAUUGGGAACCUAAGCUCGUCAAUGGACCAAGAGCUCGCUGAGAGGCAACUAGAUGUGAUCAAGCCAAAUCUCCAAUCCAGAAUGCUCAAGGAAGGAUCAGAAUAUGAUCAGUUCUGGAAGAUACUUGGAAUAAAAUCCGAGUACUCCAGCCAGAAGAUUGCAAGAGAUCCAGAAAGUGACGCUCAUUUAUUUUGUUGUACUUUUUUGAAAGGGGUGCUUAAGGUUAGAGAGAUAUUCAACUUCACACAAGAUGAUAUGAUGACAGAGGACAUAUUUAUUUUGGACUGUCAUUCAUGUGUAUUUAUAUGGGUUGGACAAAAUGUGGACACAAAAAUACGUGCACAAGCUUUGAGCAUUGGAGAGAAAUUUCUAGAACUUGACAUUCCAAUGGAAAACUUGUCACGAGAAACACCACUUUAUGUCAUCAAUGAAGGAAGUGAGCCCCAAUUUUUCACCAGGUUCUUCACUUGGGAUUCUGCAAAAACAGCCAUGCAUGGCAACUCAUUUGAAAGGAGGCUGUCUAUAUUGAAGGAUGGAAUAAAACCAAGAAGAGAUAAACCUAAAAGAAGAACAACAACAUCAUCGCACACUGGAAGAUCAAGUGUGCCUGAUAAAUCUCAGCGGAGAAGUACGUCUUUCAGCCCCGAUCGUGUGAGAGUUAGAGGAAGGUCACCGGCAUUCAAUGCAUUGGCUGCAACCUUUGAGAAUUCAAAUGCCCGAAAUCUAUCAACCCCUCCACCAGUUGCAAGAAAAUCAUUUUCGAAGUCUUCCUCCCCUGAUCCUGUAAAGCCACCCCAGAGAGCUGCCUCGAUCGCCGCAAUGUCUGCUUCUUUCGAGCGGCCUAGACAAACUCUGAUACCAAAGUCAAUUAAAGUGAGUCCUGAGGUAAAGAAACCACAAUCUGAAGCAAGCAAACCUAAGCCAGAGGAAGACGCCAAAGAAAGUACCCCUGCUGUGAAGGAUGGGCAAACUGUGACUCCGACAAUACAGGAAGAUGUAAAGGAGGAUCAGCCCGAAGACGAGGAAGGGCUUCCUACAUAUCCGUAUGAUCGCUUGAGGACAUCUUCAAGCAAUCCUGUCACAGACAUUGAUAGUACCAGGCGUGAGACGUAUCUAUCUUCGGCAGAGUUCAGGGAGAAGUUUGGCAUGACAAAGGAGGCUUUUGCAAAGCUACCAAAGUGGAAGCAGAAUAGGCUCAAGAUCGCACUCCAGCUCUUUUAA